UAGGGAAUCUUCGGCAAUGGACGGAAGUCUGACCGAGCAACGCCGCGUGAGUGAAGAAGGUUUUCGGAUCGUAAAGCUCUGUUGUAAGAGAAGAACGAGUGUGAGAGUGGAAAGUUCACACUGUGACGGUAUCUUACCAGAAAGGGACGGCUAACUACGUGCCAGCAGCCGCGGUAAUACGUAGGUGGCAAGCGUUGUCCGGAUUUAUUGGGCGUAAAGCGAGCGCAGGCGGUUCCUUAAGUCUGAUGUGAAAGCCCCCGGCUCAACCGGGGAGGGUCAUUGGAAACUGGGGAACUUGAGUGCAGAAGAGGAGAGUGGAAUUCCAUGUGUAGCGGUGAAAUGCGUAGAUAUAUGGAGGAACACCAGUGGCGAAGGCGACUCUCUGGUCUGUAACUGACGCUGAGGCUCGAAAGCGUGGGUAGCAAACAGGAUUAGAUACCCUGGUAGUCCACGCCGUAAACGAUGAGUGCUAAGUGUUGGAGGGUUUCCGCCCUUCAGUGCUGCAGUUAACGCAUUAAGCACUCCGCCUGGGGAGUACGACCGCAAGGUUG
This 551-nucleotide ribosomal RNA is filed under the name uncultured bacterium. RNAcentral's name for it is "bacterial SSU rRNA". It matches the Rfam family "Bacterial small subunit ribosomal RNA", at positions 355 to 896 of the family's 1533-position model. The record is from RNAcentral.